GAUGAACGCUAGCUACAGGCUUAACACAUGCAAGUCGCGGGGCAGCAUGGGGGUUGCUUGCACUCCCCGAUGGCGACCGGCGCACGGGUGAGUAACGCGUAUCCAACCUGCUCUUCACCACGGGAUAACCCGGCGAAAGUCGGACUAAUACCGUAUGUUGUCCAUUGACGGCAUCCGAUUUGGACGAAAGGGUUGGCGGUGAAGGAUGGGGAUGCGGCCGAUUAGCUGGACGGCGGGGUGACGGCCCACCGUGGCGACGAUCGGUAGGGGUUCUGAGAGGAAGGUCCCCCACACUGGAACUGAGACACGGUCCAGACUCCUACGGGAGGCAGCAGUGAGGAAUAUUGGUCAAUGGGCGUAAGCCUGACCCAGCCAAGUAGCGUGCAGGAUGACGGCCCUAUGGGUUGUAAACUGCUUUUAUGCGGGGAUAAAGUGGCCCACGUGUGGGUUUUUGCAGGUACCGCAUGAAUAAGGACCGGCUAAUUCCGUG
This 490-nucleotide ribosomal RNA is filed under the name uncultured bacterium. Its description in RNAcentral is "partial 16S ribosomal RNA". It matches the Rfam family "Bacterial small subunit ribosomal RNA", at positions 28 to 507 of the family's 1533-position model. The record is from RNAcentral.